Molecule: ribosomal RNA, 500 nt
Filed under: uncultured bacterium
Lineage: Bacteria
Description: partial 16S ribosomal RNA
Rfam family: Bacterial small subunit ribosomal RNA
Source: RNAcentral
AUUGAACGCUGGCGGCAUGCUUUACACAUGCAAGUCGAACGGCAGCACGGGGGCAACCCUGGUGGCGAGUGGCGAACGGGUGAGUAAUAUAUCGGAACGUGCCCUAGAGUGGGGGACAACCAGUCGAAAGAUUGGCUAAUACCGCAUACGAUCUCUGGAUGAAAGUGGGGGACCGCAAGGCCUCACGCUCCUGGAGCGGCCGAUAGCUGAUUAGCUAGUUGGUGGGGUAAAGGCCUACCAAGGCGACGAUCAGUAGCUGGUCUGAGAGGACGAUCAGCCACACUGGGACUGAGACACGGCCCAGACUCCUACGGGAGGCAGCAGUGGGGAAUUUUGGACAAUGGGGGCAACCCUGAUCCAGCAAUGCCGCGUGAGUGAAGAAGGCCUUCGGGUUGUAAAGCUCUUUUGUCAGGGAAGAAACGGUGGAGGUUAAUACCCUCUGCUAAUGACGGUACCUGAAGAAUAAGCACCGGCUAACUACGUGCCAGCAGCCGCCGUAA